GAAUUCGAUUCAGGCCUAACACAUGCAAGUCGAACGAUGAAGCCGGAGCUUGCUCCGGUGGAUUAGUGGCGAACGGGUGAGUAACACGUGAGUAACCUGCCCUUGACUCUGGGAUAACUCCGAGAAAUCGGUGCUAAUACCGGAUAUGACCCUGGAAGGCAUCUUCUGGGGUGGAAAGUUUUUCGGUCAAGGAUGGACUCGCGGCCUAUCAGCUUGUUGGUGAGGUAACGGCUCACCAAGGCAACGACGGGUAGCCGGCCUGAGAGGGUGACCGGCCACACUGGGACUGAGACACGGCCCAGACUCCUACGGGAGGCAGCAGUGGGGAAUAUUGCACAAUGGGGGAAAGCCUGAUGCAGCAACGCCGCGUGAGGGAUGUCGACCGUCGGGUUGUAAACCUCUUUUAGUAGGGAAGAAGCGAAA
This 423-nucleotide ribosomal RNA is filed under the name uncultured bacterium. RNAcentral's name for it is "bacterial SSU rRNA". It matches the Rfam family "Bacterial small subunit ribosomal RNA", at positions 39 to 455 of the family's 1533-position model. The record is from RNAcentral.